GACGAACGCUGGCGGCGUGCUUAACACAUGCAAGUCGAACGGUGAAGCGCCUUCCUUUUUGGUGGGUGUGGAUGAGUGGCGAACGGGUGAGUAACACGUGAGUAACCUGCCCCCUUCUUCUGGAUAACCGCAUGAAAGUGUGGCUAAUACGGGAUAUUCUGGGUCUGUCGCAUGAUGGGUCUGGGAAAGAUAUUGUUUCGGUGGGGGAUGGGCUCGCGGCCUAUCAGCUUGUUGGUGGGGUGAUGGCCUACCAAGGCGGUGACGGGUAGCCGGCCUGAGAGGGUGGACGGUCACACUGGGACUGAGACACGGCCCAGACUCCUACGGGAGGCAGCAGUGGGGAAUAUUGCACAAUGGGCGCAAGCCUGAUGCAGCGACGCCGCGUGAGGGAUGGAGGCCUUCGGGUUGUGAACCUCUUUCGGCAGUGAAGCAGGCCUGCCUCGUUUGUGGGUGGGUUGACGGUAGCUGGAUAAGAAGCGCCGGCUAACUACGUG
RNAcentral lists this ribosomal RNA (494 nucleotides) under uncultured bacterium. RNAcentral describes it as "partial 16S ribosomal RNA". It matches the Rfam family "Bacterial small subunit ribosomal RNA", at positions 28 to 507 of the family's 1533-position model. The record is from RNAcentral.